Molecule: long non-coding RNA, 1018 nt
Filed under: Pan troglodytes (chimpanzee)
Lineage: Eukaryota; Metazoa; Chordata; Mammalia; Primates; Hominidae
Description: long non-coding RNA NONPTRT005139
Source: RNAcentral
AGGGAGAAGAGAGGGGCUGAAGAUUGAUAAUCACCAAUUAUCAAUGAUUUAAUCAAUCAUUCCUAUAUAAUAAGGCCUCCACAAAAACCCUGAAUAAUGGGGUUCAGAGAACUUCCAUGUUGCUGAAGUGAGAUGCUAGGAGGAUGGCAUGCCUGGAGAGGGCAUGGAAGCUCUGUGCCCCUUCCCCAUGCCUUGACCUAUGCAUCUCUUCCAUUAGGCUGUUCCUGAGUUAAACAGAAGGGUGGUACUAUUGUUUUAUAGUCCUUGCCACUUCAAAGGACCAGUCUGUCUAGAAGACCCUCACAGCAGCCCCUAAGACAGUAUUCGAGAAUUCUUCCUCUAUAUGCCUUUUACAGAUAGUACGAAAACAUCUCCACAUUGAAGAAAACCAGCACCAGCACAUGGCAAAGUGCUUGUGAAGGAUGGGGCAGAAGAAAGGAGCUGGUGACAUUUUCAGUGGUUUCGUUUGCGUCCAUCGAGCGAAGACAUGUGACUAGGUGUUGUUGCAGUCUGGUUUAAUAGUUAGGAAUAUGAACCCAGAGGAGGCACUGAAGGCCUUUCGGCCCCGGCUGGACUUGUCAUUGCAUGUGUUGCUCUCCACUUUCCCUUCGUAGCACUUUUCAGUUUGUAAUUGUAGCAGGAUGAUGUUCUCUUCUCCUGUACCUCUUCAUCCCUGUGAGUAUUAGCAUUCAUCCCAUCCUCACUUGUGAGUAUUAGCAAGAGAAAGCUCUGUCUUAUAGUUGAUUCACACUGAAGACUCUAAAAGGCAAACACUCUGUCUUAUAGUUGAUUCACACUGAAGACUGUAAAAGGCAAAUUCAUCUCCUGUUGUGAGGUUCCACUUUCGCCUUCCAGAUGGAGCAAGGAACUCUGGUGGGAAGUGAUGGGGUGGAGUGGAUAAGACAAAGGAACAAACACAGGAGCCAGGAAUAAGAGACACCCAGGGGCCCAUCUAAGGUAGAGUUUGUGUGAGAUGAAAGACAAGCUAAUGGGGAAAGGGAAUAAACAUUUGGCAGCA